Molecule: long non-coding RNA, 1562 nt
Organism: Numida meleagris (helmeted guineafowl)
Lineage: Eukaryota; Metazoa; Chordata; Aves; Galliformes; Numididae
Exons: 2
Source: RefSeq, a predicted model, not a curated record
CAUGCUUGUAAAAGUCUGCACCAGCAGAGGUGACCCACCAGUUCACAGCUGCUACGAUGGCAUCGUUGCGAGAAAAAUGUUGCCCAUGCAGCCCAUCUUUCAUCAGCCUGAAGAGAUGGAAGUCAGAAGGUGCCAAAUUCUGACAAUACGGUGGGUAUGGUAGGGCAGUCCAGCCAAGAUGGGCAAUGUGUUCCACGGUCUAUAAACUGGCCUGGUGUUAUCUUGUUGCAAAAGUAAAGUUGUCUUAUUCUCUGGCAGGACUCUGGAAGUUCAAGCUUUCAGCUUAGUCAGCGUUAUGAUGUAAUGGUCAGAGUUGAUGGUUUGUCCAUGUUCCAGGAAAUCGAGAAGAAUCCCCCCUUUCCUAUUCCAAAGGACAAUGUACAUCUCUUUAUCCACUGAGGGCUGCAUCUUGAACUUUGUCUUUGAUGGGGAAUUCAUACCUCUACUCCCCAGACCGCCUUUUUGACUCCGGCUUGUAGCGGUGAUGCCACAUCUUGUCACCGAUAAUGAUGCGAGCCAGGACACUGUCACCUUCAUCCUUGGAGUGGUUCAACACGUCCUGACAAACUUGCAUGUGGUGUUCUUUCUGUUCCUGUGUGAGCAUUUGUGGGACCCACUUGGCACAAACUCUGCAAUAUUUCAACACAGCCACCAUCAUUUCCAAUGCACUGAAGCUGGUAUUCAGCUCCAUACACAGUUCCCAGGUUGCUAAUUCACACAGGUGAGCUGAUGGAAACACUCUUCAUUUUGUGGCGUGACAACCAUGCAUGGCUGUCCAGAACGUGGCUUGUCCUUCACAUCGCCGUCGCAACUGGUGAAUUGCACCCCCCACCACUCCCCUGUGCCAACAUGAACUGGUUUGGUUUCCAUACACUUUCAGCAAGUGUCGAUGAAUGUCAGUGGAUGACAUUUUUUCUACAUGGAAGAAUUCAACUCCAAACCUUUACUUCAUACGCACUCCCAUGUUAGAUGCCAUUCUAUCAGACUGCCUCGCCACUACCAUCUGUCCUAUGGCAACAAAAUUAAAUGGGAUAUUGGUGGGAAGAUUCAACCUCAACUGCCAUAAACAUCUGCCUCUGAUGUUGUGCGCCAGCAUCAUAAAAUAGGAGGCAUUACUUUCAGAGCAGCCCGCGUGUCAGAAAUCAGUACUUAUAUUUCAAAAUUCUAAAUUACUCUUCUCAUUGCUCAAAAAACAAUUUUGUUUUAAAUUACUAUGAAAUUAAAAUAAAAUUGUUUUGUAUCUUCAGAUUUACUACUGGAACAGUAUGUCCUGUCUGAAGGCGGGAGAGAGAUCAAAGCUUUCUGAUGGCCAUUUUCAGAGCUAGAGUCUCCACAAGUCCAUCUUCAGUCUACAUAAUGAGAAGCUUAGUGAGCCCUCCAGCUACUGGAACAAAAGUACACGCCCAAUUAGAUGAGAGAAGAGUCCCUAUCCCUUAUCUCUGCUGCAAGAAAAAAGUAAAAAUCUGCUACACGUUCAAGGGAAGCAAUGAGAUUCAAACACCAAACAUCUCUCAAGCUACAUUCAUUUCAUUGUGCCACGCAAUAUGGACUCACAUAAGGAA